UAGUCGAGCGGCGAACGGGUGAGUAACGCGUGGAUAACCUGCCCUGAGGUGGGGGAUAACCAAGGGAAACUUUGGCUAAUACCGCAUGAUACCGAGAGGUCAAAGGGGGCUCGCAAGGGCUCUCGCCAUAGGAGGGGUCCGCGUCCGAUUAGCUAGUUGGUAGGGUAAUGGCCUACCAAGGCGACGAUCGGUAGCCGGCCCGAGAGGGUGAUCGGCCACACUGGAACUGAGACACGGUCCAG
RNAcentral lists this ribosomal RNA (242 nucleotides) under uncultured bacterium. Its description in RNAcentral is "partial 16S ribosomal RNA". It matches the Rfam family "Bacterial small subunit ribosomal RNA", at positions 88 to 334 of the family's 1533-position model. The record is from RNAcentral.